RNAcentral lists this transfer RNA (77 nucleotides) under Cellulomonas sp. PSBB021. Its description in RNAcentral is "tRNA-Leu". It matches the Rfam family "tRNA". Rfam says of the family: Transfer RNA (tRNA) molecules are approximately 80 nucleotides in length. Their secondary structure includes four short double-helical elements and three loops (D, anti-codon, and T loops). The record is from RNAcentral. Lineage: Bacteria; Bacillati; Actinomycetota; Actinomycetes; Micrococcales; Cellulomonadaceae.
GCGCCCGUAGCCCAACCGGCAGAGGCGGCCGGCUUAAACCCGGCUCAGUGCGGGUUCGAGUCCCGCCGGGCGCACGA